Molecule: ribosomal RNA, 468 nt
Filed under: uncultured bacterium
Lineage: Bacteria
Description: partial 16S ribosomal RNA
Rfam family: Bacterial small subunit ribosomal RNA
Source: RNAcentral
GACGAACGCUGGCGGCGUGCUUAACACAUGCAAGUCGAACGGAAAGGCCCUGCUUUUGUGGGGUGCUCGAGUGGCGAACGGGUGAGUAACACGUGAGUAACCUGUCCUUGACUUUGGGAUAACUUCAGGAAACUGGGGCUAAUACCGGAUAGGAGCUCCUGCUGCAUGGUGGGGGUUGGAAAGUUUCGGCGGUUGGGGAUGGACUCGCGGCUUAUCAGCUUGUUGGUGGGGUAGUGGAUUACCAAGGCUUUGACGGGUAGCCGGCCUGAGAGGGUGACCGGCCACACUGGGACUGAGAUGCGACCCAGACUCCUACGGGAGGCAACAGUGGGGAGUAUUGCACAAUGGGCGGGAGCCUGAUGCAGCAACGCCGCGUGCGGGAUGACGGCCUUCGGGUUGUAAACCGCUUUCGCCUGUGACGAAGCGUGAGUGACGGUAAUGGGUAAAGAAGCACCGGCUAACUACGUG